This 2251-nucleotide long non-coding RNA is filed under the name Mus musculus (house mouse). RNAcentral describes it as "RIKEN cDNA 4931415C17 gene (4931415C17Rik)". Lineage: Eukaryota; Metazoa; Chordata; Mammalia; Rodentia; Muridae. The record is from RNAcentral.
AGUCCUGGAAACGGGGAUACUGAGAUGGAGAGGCUUGAGCGCUGCCGCAAAGGAAAAAUCAGACGCAGACACGAGAAAUUCUGUGCUGUCUGGGACGCAGGAGGAGGAGAGUCCUCGUCACUGGGAGCCCAGCUCCGCCGCUCCUGCCCGGAUGCUCGGUGGUCCGCAGAAAGCUCCCUUCUUAGUCGCUGACUCAGGACUAUGAUAGCAGUGGCACUCAGAGGUGGCUUAAUGGAGAGCAUACCUUUAUUCGUCUUUUGCUCGCAGAUCUCUUAGCCACCCUUCCCUGCCCGCUCUGUGAUGUACAGAAUGCGGACACACUCACUCCCUGUACAAAUGGUACCUGCUGGAGCUCAGCCAGUUGAAGCCAACGAUAGAAACUGCAAGAGGAGACUCUCGGCUUCAGCCUGGAAUUUGACUACGACUCUAACAAGCCGAGACUCUCAACACUCAGCUCUCAGCCCAUUCUUAGCUCCAGCCUAUUUUGUACCACCCACACAGAUGAUGCUCCAUCAGAAGGUCUAGAAUAAGGCCAUAGUGAAUAACUAUCAGUCAUUCCUGGUGUUUCUUCCACCCCGGGGCCAGUAGCUAACCUUCAGGCUACACCAGAAGAGAGGGAGACUGGCCUGCGCCUUUUGGAACCUAAGGUGUUGCACCUGGGCGCACCCUACCUGAGGAGGUUCAACUAUGCAUCAUUCUGCCUACUUCAUACAGGUGGCUGAGGCUGGAGGCGGAUGCUCGGAGCACUGAUCCAUCCAUUAGCUGGCCUGUGCUGCCCUCUGCCGGCCAGUGGGGUUUAACAGCCACCCUAAGCCGAGAGAGACCUGGAAUUGGAGCCAGCUGACUGCUUUGAGAGAAAACCUGUUAGGAAUGGACUUUUGAGGGCGUUCCCUUUCCUGUGCAAGUGAGUUUUGGUCCUACAGAGGAAGGGUAAAGCUGGGAAAGUGGCUUGUUUUCAUAAAGUCUGUGAGGCGCUUCCACUCAGGUGCCGAAAGGGAGAUCAGGAGGUAGCAGUGUUCCAAGAAGCCCUCUAACCAACGAUUUCCAAUCUUCCCACCGGUGGCAAAACUCCCAGAGGGCACAGUUUCAAGAUUCAGUUUUUCCACCUUUAAAACGGAGACGAAUGUGACCUUGCAGGAUUUUGAGAGGGUGAGGAUUUCUGUAAAGUGCCAGUGAGGUGUGCAAGCCCUGUCCCUGUGUAAGUGUAGCUGCCAAGCCUCAUCAAAGAAGGUUCUCUUUACACCUAACAGAGACCGUCCCAGAAGACAGCUCGAUACAAUGCAAGAUCACCAGAUCCCAACAGAUACAUCUGCAUCACAGCUCCUGCAUCCACGGCCGAGGGAACUUGGAGGAAGUAGGCGUGGGAAGAUUGUAAGAGCCUGUAUACCAAGAAGUCUGCCGUGAGCAUCUCUCCUGGAAAUGGCUGCAUAAACUAGACCGAAGCAGUGGCAUAUCUGAUGGACAUGUUAACGUGGAAGGGAGAGGUUUUCUUGGGGUUCCACCCCUAGACAAAGACCUACAGGCCACUAGUGGCUGCUGGGAGAGAGAGUUAGCUACUCCCAGAGAUGGACCCCUUUAUUUGUUGCACAAUGCAGAGUGGUCAGCCUUGAAACCAUAUACAGCAGCAAAAGGAACAGGCUUAGCAGGUUGUAUUUACAUAUAAUUGUGAAUACACAUACAUACUAAUCUAUAGAUGUAUGUGAAAAUAAUUUUUAAAGAAGGGUACUUAACUUGAGCACUGGGGCUUGAGAGGGACUGGAGGACAGAGAUCUGGCAGGGGCUGGAAGAAAGUGAGGGGAGCGAUGUAAUUCUAUUGUUAAAAUGUAUUUUUUAAGUGCCUGUGAGGGGCUGGAGACAUGGCUCAGCAGUUAAGAAUGCUGAAUUCUCCUGCAGAUGACUAGGUUCAGUUCUGAACACUCGCAUGCCAGCUCACAACCAUCUAUCUGUAACUCCACAUCCAGGGAUCUGACCCUUCUGACUUCAGUGGCUCCCAGAUGCCCAAAGUACACACACAUACACAUACAAAUAGAAUCGGUAUAUAAUUAAGAGUGCCUGCAGACACCUAGAAAUGGCAGCUGUGAAGAAGGACAUGUAAUUUUCACUAAAUGUCAGGAUGAGAAAUUUAUCAAGAUUCUGUUACAGGUUUUCAGGGUCAAAGCCUGGGUGCUGAAAGUCUAAACUUGACUGUUUAUGCACAGUAUGUUUGUGCUGUGCCCUGUAUGUCAAUUAAAGAUACAAGCAAUAAUAAAAA